This 1233-nucleotide long non-coding RNA is filed under the name Sus scrofa (pig). Its description in RNAcentral is "lncRNA (ENSSSCG00070005528.1)". The record is from RNAcentral. Lineage: Eukaryota; Metazoa; Chordata; Mammalia; Artiodactyla; Suidae.
AUGGGCUUUAGAACUAGGGCUGGGGUCAGAGUCGGAGCUCGGCGGGUCGGGUGGGAGUGGGGUCAGAGCUGCGUCCCGGCUGAGGUUCUCAGCAGGGUAGGUCUUGGGUUAGGAUUAGGGUUCCAAGCAGGAUGGAGACUAGGGACGGGGCUGGGAUUAGGGUCGUCCCGGGCCCAGGUGGGUACGGGCGCCUUUUAUAAAGCCUGGGUGAGAGUGCCAGGCCCCACCUUGUCUCGGUUCCAGCCGACCUCGGGCAACCCCAGGAAUCCUGAGGGCCUCAGCGGCUCUCCUGCUCACUCAAGUCCAACUUGGGGCCCUGGGUCAAAGCCGGAGGACACACCCCCUGGGGCUGCAGGCAGGCCCUCUGGACAGCCUGUCGUGGGCCUUCCUUGCCCAAGUCCAUCUCUAGGGCUCCCACCCUGUCCUGGGGGCCGCCUUCCCCCAGGCGAGGCUGUUGGAAAGAUUCCUGCCCCAGACCCGGGAAGAGACCUGAGGUCUCCUUCCCAGCCCUCCUGGGCCCCAUGUCUGCCUCCAAGGCCUGAGAGUGGGCACAGGUGCCCCUUUCCUGCUGCCCCACAGUACAGCCCUGGGCCGGGGCCGGGGAACUGGCUCACUCACCUGGAACAUCUGGAAACGCAAAAGGAUCCAGCCCCUGGGCCCCAUGGAGGUGGCCUGUCCACAGGCCACUUAAGCGCCAUCUGGCUAUCCCCAGCCUCCGAGGCUAGCACAGUGGACACCCAGGUCCUGCCUCUGCUGGCUACAAACCUGACCUGGCCAGAGCCCGGGCCAGGGGCUCAGAGGCCUGGGGACGCCCUGGAGAGGCUGGGUAGGGCCUGGGCUGGCCACCCCACCCCCGCCGAGACAUGUCUGUGCCCUGAGCCCCUCUGGGUCAUGCGGUCAGAUGCUGCCAUUCUUCCUCUCUCCUGCCAGCCAGCUGGACACCAGGCGGCCGCCAGUGCGGGAGGCCCUGCCACACCCUGGAUGGGUGAGCCUCGCCCAGCAUCUGCCAGCGGUGCACAUGUUGGUGCUGGGGGUGGGAACAUGGUCGCGGUGCCCACGGGUGGAGGAACCAGGCCCCCUUCCUCACUGAGCGCCAGCUGCUGUGCUGGAGGGUGGGGUGAGCCUGCAGGAAAGGGGUGCCCUGGUGCAGGGUGGAGCUGGCUGGCAGAGGGGGCCUCCCUCCUGCUCUGGCCUCGGGACAAACUCAAGUCACCUCAAACUCUCGCCUCCUGA